UACGUAGGGGGGCUAGCGUUGUCCGGGAUUUAUUGGGCGAAAGAGCGUGUAGGCGCCAUGUAGGUCCGGUGUGAAAACUCGAGGCUUAACCUCGAGAUGUCAUCGGAAACCAUUUGGCUAGAGUCCGGAAGAGGAGAGUGGAAUUCCUGGUGUAGCGGUGAAAUGCGCAGAUAUCAGGAAGAACACCAAUGGCGAAAGCAGCUCUCUGGGACGGUACUGGACGCUGAGACGCGAAAAGCGUGGGGAGCGAACAGG
Molecule: ribosomal RNA, 255 nt
Filed under: uncultured bacterium
Lineage: Bacteria
Description: partial 16S ribosomal RNA
Rfam family: Bacterial small subunit ribosomal RNA
Source: RNAcentral